Molecule: long non-coding RNA, 1563 nt
Organism: Astatotilapia calliptera (eastern happy)
Lineage: Eukaryota; Metazoa; Chordata; Actinopteri; Cichliformes; Cichlidae
Source: Ensembl
CAGAGAGAUACACUGACGACUUCCUCAGUCCCCGAAUAAAGUAAAUUAACCCUUGUGUGGUGUUGAGUGACACAGGAAGUUGCCUGUUAUCUUGAAACGUACGUUAAAAAGUGAGAAGUUGCUCACUCACAGAAAGCUAGUAAAUAAUUAAAUUUAAUUUUGUUAAAAAAAAAAAACAAAAAAAAAAACGAAAGAAAACUGAAAACGGGUCUCACAGACCCGAUUACCAUACAAGGGUUAAAAGCAGUAAAUUAAAAGCAGAAAGACACAGGAAGUUGCCUGUUGUUUUACGAGAAGUUGCUCGUUAAGCGAGAAGUUGCUCGCUAAGUGAGAGUUGCUCACACAAACAAAAAAUUGCUAGCAAUAAAUUUAAAGUGACCUCAGCUGUGCCGCAGCGAAAAUACUAACCUAAAUCCUCCUAGCGUGUAAACCCCUCUGGAAAUCACUGAACAUGAGUCAGAAUUAUUCAAAGACCACAGACAGGUCCGAUAAAAAAUCUAAAGUACCUGUAAAACCAAAAAUUAAUAAAAUACAAAAUAAAGUCUCAAAUAACGGCUCAGUACAACUCCCAUUUCCGGUUACGUGUAACCUACGUCCGCGACUCGGUGAAGACGUCCAUGAUCACGUAUCCAGAACAUGCGGGAGUGCUUAUGUGACUGACUUUGUUUACAACUUAAGAAGUUCAAUGCAUUCUAAUUUCUUUCCGGAGCCUUAUCCCGAACGAUUAUCGCCAGAAAACAGGUCAGUAGAAAUGUUGAAUAUCAUUUGUGAUAAGAAAAGUAGUCUGCUUAAAAAGUCCUGUAGAAAAUAUAUGAUAGAAUGCCGCGACGUGAUGCAUCAAAUGUUACCACUAUGGAAAAAGGGACCGGAACCAGGUGUAGAUACUUUUACAUCAAAUAAAACUAGUGCAGGCUCUGGCAUAGAAAAUAAAUCUACUGCGGGAAAAGCUAGUCUUGCAUGUUCAGCCUACAGCCCCGCCGCCUUACGAAGAUGAGACCGAAUUAAUAGUUGCUGCCGCAGCUGCACGCAAACAAUGUCAGCAUUCUGAUCCAACCAGCUCAAAAGAAAGCGACGAAAAAAAAAAAAAAAAUCUGAAUCACAUGCAACGGAUCUUAGCCAUCUCUUUAAACAAGAUCAGGAAAAACAAUAUAUACGCCGCAAGGAAGAAUUAGCAGAACAUAAAAAAAGAGAAAAACUUUUGAAAGAAGAAUGUGAGGAACUUAUGAAAAACAAUUUAGACGACUAUGAAGAAACUGCAGGCAGUGUCCACAAUAGACACCCACAUGAAACGCCACGAUAUCGUAGCUAGAGGUUUAGAGGUAGCUAAAGAAAUACCUGUUACCCGAACUUUAAUAAAGACUUAUCUAAAAGGAAAAAAAGGAAAAACAAAGCCGGAAUGACAAAGGUCCUCACGCCAACACUCGCGGUAGUAAACAAACAGACCCAAAGCAUGAUAAAGCAUCCACAACUGCAGAGUUUUUGUGGGUAAAUAAUGACAAAAUCACCAAUUUCUUUAAGAAUCUAAAGAAAUUCCUGCUAACAAUGUCCAGAGACAAAAUUGAC